AAGUCGUAACAAGGUUUCCGUAGGUGAACCUGCGGAAGGAUCAUUAACACGUAUCCAAACGUUAAACAACCCCGUGAACAUACAACCUGCUCUGGUCGCCCAGUAAAUCAAGCCCCGGAAAGUUUUUGAUUUGGGACCUCUGUGCGCGUGAGAAGCGGUAGGUCAAGUGACACGGCGAACCCCACUUUAUUGCCUAAGCAUCCAUACGGAUGGGCAGGCCCCCCGAACAACUGUUAACAAUGGAUAUCUUGGUUCUC
Molecule: unclassified non-coding RNA, 257 nt
Filed under: fungal sp.
Lineage: Eukaryota; Fungi
Description: partial internal transcribed spacer region
Rfam family: Eukaryotic small subunit ribosomal RNA (bases 1-46)
Source: RNAcentral